RNAcentral lists this long non-coding RNA (1431 nucleotides) under Theobroma cacao (cacao). RNAcentral's name for it is "long non-coding RNA (TCAC_LNC004405)". Lineage: Eukaryota; Viridiplantae; Streptophyta; Magnoliopsida; Malvales; Malvaceae. The record is from RNAcentral.
AGAAGAGAAGAGAAACCAAGGAAGAACAAGCCCUAGGUGGGAAAAAUCAAAGAGAAAGUGUUAGAAUUCAAGGAAACAAUCUAGGUAAGUUAAAAUUUCUUUAAUUCUCCUUGAUACCUAGCUUACCCAUGCUUUUGUUCUUGAUUUCCAUGGUUGAAUAUUGAGUUAUCAUGAUGAAUUCAAUUCUGAAAAAUGGGUAUGGAAGAGGAAUUGUUGUUGGAAUAAUUUGAUUUUAGACUAUGUUAGUGUUUAGAGAUAGUUAAGCAUGGUUAUGAACAAAAACACAAAAGAAAUAUUCAAUUUCUCUAGGGUUCCUUGUUGGUUGAACCAUGAGGGCUGAAUAUCAAUGGGAGAUUGCUUUUGUUUCAAGGAAAAUGGCUUGGAAAUAUGAUGAAUUAAGGUGAAACGGUUAUGUAGAAAAAUUUUCGGUGUUAGUGCACCAAAUGACCGAAUUUUUCUAUAAGGAACUAUGAGGGUUCUAAUGCUGAAUUUGGCUUUAUUUAAAUGGUAUGUGGUAAAUUAAGGUAUUAGAGGAGAAAUGGAUUAAUUUGGAGUGAAAUUGGAUGCAUUGGCCAAUUUAUCGGAUGAAAAAUUUACUUAGGCCACUACCGAGUCUAGAUGGCUACCCGUGCAUUUUUCAUUUCAUAUCAUAUAUAUAUCGAGCCUGAAAUAGCUUAUGACUAUUAGACACAAUUUAAUUGGAAUAUGUGUCAUGGAUUAUGGUUAGGUGGUGAGCCAUUGCAUACAGGUAAAGGACUGUACCCGCUGAUUGAAAAUAGGAGUAUUUCUACUCCUAAUACCGGUGAGUGGACUUGCAUUUCAAACUUGUUUUGGGGAAUAUGAAAGGUUUUAUCCAACUUGUCUUAGAAAAUGUACCCUGGGAACAAGCUUUUAGUAAAAUGAUUUUAUAUUGUGAAAAUUUGCUAUACAAUGGUUUAUGUGUUAUCACAAUAUGAUAAACUACAUGAUAUGCAUUGGAUGCUUCUUUGCAUGUUGAUGUGGACCCGGCUAUGUAUGAGUAGGAGUGCAUAUAAGCCAUUGCUGACCCGGCUAUGUGCGAGUAGGAGUGCACAUAUGCCGUUGCUAACCCUGCUAUGUGCGAGUGGGAGUGCACAUAUGCCGUUGCUGACCCGCCUAUGUGCGAGUAGGAGUGCGCAUAAGCCGUUGCUGACCCGGCUAUGUGCGAGUGGGAGUACGCAUAAGCCGUUGCAUAUGAGAUGAUGAUGAUGGGAUGAUGUGCAUGAUGAUGAUGAUGAGAUGGUGUGCAUGUUUAUGAUGGGUAUAUGGUUGUAAAUGCAAAUAUGUAAGCAUUUGUUUUGUUGAAAUUUGGAAGUUUACAUGUGUUACAUGUUGCUAUUGUUAUUUUAGCAGGAUGACUUGUUUUAAGGGAAAAAUGAGACUUUUUCCUUGAUGUUCUGGUUCUCGCUGCAG